RNAcentral lists this ribosomal RNA (253 nucleotides) under uncultured bacterium. Its description in RNAcentral is "partial 16S ribosomal RNA". It matches the Rfam family "Bacterial small subunit ribosomal RNA", at positions 524 to 776 of the family's 1533-position model. The record is from RNAcentral.
GACGUAGGGCGCGAGCGUUGUCCGGAAUCAUUGGGCGUAAAGAGCUCGUAGGCGGCCGGUUGCGUCUGCUGUGAAAUCCCGGGGCUUAACCCCGGGCGUGCAGUGGAUACGGGCUGGCUGGAGGCAGGCAGGGGAGAAUGGAAUUCCCGGUGUAGCGGUGAAAUGCGCAGAUAUCGGGAGGAACACCGGUGGCGAAGGCGGUUCUCUGGGCCUGUGCUGACGCUGAGGAGCGAAAGCGUGGGGAGCGAACAGG